CAGUCACAGGAGAUGAAAGAUUUCAAAACCCUGUUGCUGCUCUGCUGUCCAGUAGAGAUGUAUUGGAUCUUCGAGGAACACAUUCUCUCUAACAGUCCAUGUUUCUGUGUGUAUAUUCAAACAAGAGAGAAGGCGGCCAGGGAACCCUAAAAGCAAAGCACGGGUCUCCAUGAAAAGGGCCCAAUGUCUAGGAGAUUCCAUGGGACUUAGCAGCCACCAAAUACUUUGCUUGUUUUACUAGCUAGGGCAAACUCCUCUCCUCCCAAUGGAAACUCCUGGGAAAAGGUUUGUGAAGGAAACCUCAAGUUGCAACAAUCCUUUGCUGCCUGUUCUACUUUCCUUUGAGAAAUUUUAAGGUGGGCUGCUAAAAAGUGAGAUAAUGAGAGCUCUUUGCCUGGCUACAGCUAGUUCAUGUGGUCAGGAAGGUGAGCAAAAAUAUUUUAAACUCAUUUCUCCCCUUCCCUCCCCCCCAAAUUGAUGACAUUUGUGUGUUCUCCCUGAGCCAGCCUGAAAAAAUGAAAUUUACUGUUUGAAGCUGUUAUACCAAUAAAAACUAGCAGGAUCUUAUUAAAGGGGACA
Molecule: long non-coding RNA, 579 nt
Filed under: Chrysemys picta bellii (western painted turtle)
Lineage: Eukaryota; Metazoa; Chordata; Testudines; Emydidae
Description: lncRNA (ENSCPBG00000010300.1)
Source: RNAcentral